Molecule: long non-coding RNA, 430 nt
Filed under: Homo sapiens (human)
Lineage: Eukaryota; Metazoa; Chordata; Mammalia; Primates; Hominidae
Description: HSALNT0409124
Source: RNAcentral
CGCAGGCGCAGAGGCCGACACCACGGGGCGGCUGGUAUGUGUCCACCGGCCCCUAGGCGCCUCGAGCCCCGCCCCUGGGAGACGCAGGCUCCUCCCCGCGGAGCGAGAGCCCGCGGAGCUGCUCCGAGACCCGCGGGAGGGCACCUCCGGUCACCCGAGCCGCAAAUCCCCGCCGUCCGAAGGGGGUGUCGCCCCGGGCUGUCGGCCCAGCGUGGCUUAGGCCAGACCCCGAUCCAUCGACACCCCAAGGAAAUGCUGUGCACAAAAUUCCAAGAGGGCCUUUUCGAAUAGACGCAUGAACGGUGUUUGUGUCUGGAUCGUCCAGCCUCCCGGGAUCGAUUGGGAAUCUAGCUUCUGCUUGCCUUUCCAGCGCGACGCACAGUAGGAGCCUAAUAAAUGUUUGCUGAAUGAAUGCUGAAUAUCGAACUCA